RNAcentral lists this unclassified non-coding RNA (210 nucleotides) under Hevea brasiliensis (rubber tree). Lineage: Eukaryota; Viridiplantae; Streptophyta; Magnoliopsida; Malpighiales; Euphorbiaceae. The record is from RNAcentral.
UAUUUCUAUCUCUAUAACCAUUUUCAUUCCCUUUCAUUCAUAACAUAUGGCUUAUAUUAUGCAUGUGUUUACAUCCUUUAAUAAAUGCCAUGUACUUGACUUUUCAUUACCCUAGUACGUGAAUCUAACUUAUCAUAUCUUCAUUAUUAAUUAUAAUAAUUAUUUUGAACAAUUUUCCAUUUCCUGACAAAUUAAUUGACAAAAGCGCAG